GGGGUAACAAGUCUAGCUUGCUAGAUGUUGACGACCGGCGCACGGGUGCCCAACGCGUAUACAAUCUGCCCCCUACUGUGGGAUAGCCCAGAGAAAUUUGGAUUAAUACCACAUGGUACCAUAUUACGGCAUCGUAUUUAUGGUUAAAGGUUACGGUAGGGGAUGAGUAUGCGUCCCAUUAGUUAGUUGGCGAGGUAACGGCUCACCAAGACCGCGAUGGGUAGGGGCCCUGAGAGGGGGAUCCCCCACACUGGUACUGAGACACGGACCAGACUCCUACGGGAGGCAGCAGUGAGGAAUAUUGGACAAUGGGCGGGAGCCUGAUCCAGCCAUGCCGCGUGCAGGAAGAAUGCCCUAUGGGUAGUAAACUGCUUUUAUACGGGAAGAAAAAGGGCUACGUGUAGCCCACUGACGGUACCGUAAGAAUAAGGACCGGCUAACUCCGUGCCAGCAGCCGCGGUAAUACGGAGGGUCCGAGCGUUAUCCGGAAUUAUUGGGUUUAAAGGGUCCGUAGGCGGGCCGAUAAGUCAGGGGUGAAAGUCUGCCGCUCAACGGUAGAAUUGCCUUUGAUACUGUCGGUCUUGAGUUAUGGUGAAGUUGGCGGAAUAUGUAGUGUAGCGGUGAAAUGCAUAGAUAUUACAUAGAACACCGAUUGCGAAGGCAGCUGACUAACCAUCGACUGACGCUGAUGGACGAAAGCGUGGGGAGCGAACAGGAUUAGAUACCCUGGUAGUCCACGCCGUAAACGAUGGAUACUAGCUGUCCGGGUCCUUGAGACCUGGGCGGCCAAGCGAAAGUGAUAAGUAUCCCACCUGGGGAGUACGUUCGCAAGAAUGAAACUCAAG
RNAcentral lists this ribosomal RNA (845 nucleotides) under Zobellia sp. RHA_40. RNAcentral describes it as "bacterial SSU rRNA". It matches the Rfam family "Bacterial small subunit ribosomal RNA", at positions 66 to 905 of the family's 1533-position model. The record is from RNAcentral. Lineage: Bacteria; Pseudomonadati; Bacteroidota; Flavobacteriia; Flavobacteriales; Flavobacteriaceae.